UACGUAGGGGGCAAGCGUUGUCCGGAAUCAUUGGGCGUAAAGCGCGUGUAGGCGGCUCGGUAAGUCUGCUCUGAAAGCCCGGGGCUCAACCCUGGGAGGCGGGUGGAUACUGCUGAGCUCGAGUCCGGAAGAGGCGAGUGGAAUUCCUGGUGUAGCGGUGAAAUGCGCAGAUAUCGUAAGGAAGACCAGUGGCGAAGGCGAAUCUCUGGACAGUUACUGACACUGAGGCACGAAGGCCAGGGGAGCAAACGGG
Molecule: ribosomal RNA, 253 nt
Filed under: uncultured bacterium
Lineage: Bacteria
Description: partial 16S ribosomal RNA
Rfam family: Bacterial small subunit ribosomal RNA
Source: RNAcentral